GCGUCGGAGACUCGCACUUUGACUUGGUUCACGUACACAGGAGACCCCGACUCGCUGGGCACGUCGGGAGCCCGCGAGUUAAUGGAGGUGACCGAGGACGUGGACCCGGGGGAGUCGGUCAUCAGCUGGGCUCGGGUCAGACGCUUGCCGGUCCUAUUGGGCGUCUGUUUCAAAAUCCGGGAGCGGGCUUCCACAUAGAUGCGGCUGUAGAGGGCGAUGAGGAGCAAGGUGGGGAAGUAGAAAGCGCCCACCGUGGAGUAGACCGUGUAGAGGAUGUGGUCGGUGUUCACCAAACAGUCCAACACUUCUUCCUCGGCUUUGGCCUGGCGCCAAAAGAAGGGCGGCAGCGAGAUGGAGAUGGAGAAGACCCACACCAGCGCGAUCAUGACUGCCGCCCUCUUGGGAGUCCUUUUAGCUGAGUACUCCACGGCGUCCGUGAUGGCCCAGUAGCGGUCCAGGGCGAUGACACAGAGGUGCAGGAUGGAAGCAGUGCAACAGGUGAUAUCAGACGACAGCCAGAAGUCGCAGACCACCUGGCCCAGCGUCCAGCGGCCGGUGACCACAUACAUGGUGCUGAUGGGCAUCACCAGGAUGGAUACGAGCAGGUGUUUGCACAUGGGCGCACGUGUGUGAAACACGCAAGACAGCCGGGAACCUUCACAGCCGCCUCCGCCGCGGCGCCCUGCGGUCCGCGCGCC
Molecule: long non-coding RNA, 698 nt
Filed under: Equus caballus (horse)
Lineage: Eukaryota; Metazoa; Chordata; Mammalia; Perissodactyla; Equidae
Description: 5-hydroxytryptamine receptor 1B (ENSECAG00000000649.3)
Source: RNAcentral